RNAcentral lists this ribosomal RNA (491 nucleotides) under uncultured bacterium. RNAcentral's name for it is "partial 16S ribosomal RNA". It matches the Rfam family "Bacterial small subunit ribosomal RNA", at positions 29 to 507 of the family's 1533-position model. The record is from RNAcentral.
GUGCACGCUGGCGGUAGGCCUAACACAUGCAAGUCGAACGGCAGCACAGUAAGAGCUUGCUCUUACGGGUGGCGAGUGGCGGACGGGUGAGGAAUACAUCGGAAUCUACUUUUUCGUGGGGGAUAACGUAGGGAAACUUACGCUAAUACCGCAUACGACCUACGGGUGAAAGCAGGGGAUCUUCGGACCUUGCGCGAUUGAAUGAGCCGAUGUCGGACUAGCUAGUUGGCGGGGUAAAGGCCCACCAAGGCGACGAUCCGUAGCUGGUCUGAGAGGAUGAUCAGCCACACUGGAACUGAGACACGGUCCAGACUCCUACGGGAGGCAGCAGUGGGGAAUAUUGGACAAUGGGCGCAAGCCUGAUCCAGCCAUACCGCGUGGGUGAAGAAGGCCUUCGGGUUGUAAAGCCCUUUUGUUGGGAAAGAAAAGCAGCAGGUUAAUACCCCGCUGUUCUGACGGUACCCAAAGAAUAAGCACCGGCUAACUUCGUG